This 72-nucleotide transfer RNA is filed under the name Marmota monax (woodchuck). It matches the Rfam family "tRNA". Rfam says of the family: Transfer RNA (tRNA) molecules are approximately 80 nucleotides in length. Their secondary structure includes four short double-helical elements and three loops (D, anti-codon, and T loops). Further hydrogen bonds mediate the characteristic L-shaped molecular structure. tRNAs have two regions of fundamental functional importance: the anti-codon, which is responsible for specific mRNA codon recognition, and the 3' end, to which the tRNAs corresponding amino acid is attached (by aminoacyl-tRNA synthetases). tRNAs cope with the degeneracy of the genetic code in two manners: having more than one tRNA (with a specific anti-codon) for a particular amino acid; and 'wobble' base-pairing, i.e. permitting non-standard base-pairing at the 3rd anti-codon position. The record is from Rfam by way of RNAcentral. Lineage: Eukaryota; Metazoa; Chordata; Mammalia; Rodentia; Sciuridae.
AGGGAUGUGGCUCAGUGGUAGAGUGCUUACCUAGCAUGUGUGAGGCACUGGGUUCAAUUCUCAGCACCACAA